Molecule: ribosomal RNA, 484 nt
Filed under: uncultured bacterium
Lineage: Bacteria
Description: partial 16S ribosomal RNA
Rfam family: Bacterial small subunit ribosomal RNA
Source: RNAcentral
AUUGAACGCUGGCGGCAGGCCUAACACAUGCCAGUCGAGCGGAUGAAGGGAGCUUUCUCCUGGAUUCAGCGGCGGACGGGUGAGUAAUGCCUAGGAAUCUGCCUGGUAGUGGGGGAUAACGUCCGGAGACGGGCGCUAAUACCGCAUCCGUCCUGAGGGAGAAAGUGGGGGUUCUUCGGACCUCACCCUUUCAGAUGAGCCUAGGUCGGAUUAGCUAGUUGGUGGGGUAAGGGCCUACCACGGCGACCAUCCGUAACUGGUCUGAGAGGAUGUUCAGUCACACUGGACUUGGACCACGGUCCAGACUCCUACGGGAGGCAGCAGUGGGGAAUAUUGGCCAAUGGGCGAAAGCCUGCUCCAGCCAUGCCGCGUGUGUGAAGAAGGUCUUCGGAUUGUAAAGCACUUUAAGUUGGGAGGAAGGGCAGUAAGUUAAAACCUUGAUGUUUUGACGUUACCAACAGAAUAAGCACCGGCUAACUUCGUG